ACACCACUCGUACACUCAGGUGCUGAGCGCGCCGUGCACGCCCACCUGACGACUGCUCGCCACGUUCUAUUAGCC
RNAcentral lists this small RNA (75 nucleotides) under Xanthomonas bromi. RNAcentral describes it as "sX9 sRNA". It matches the Rfam family "Xanthomonas sRNA sX9". Lineage: Bacteria; Pseudomonadati; Pseudomonadota; Gammaproteobacteria; Lysobacterales; Lysobacteraceae. The record is from RNAcentral.